This 571-nucleotide long non-coding RNA is filed under the name Phasianus colchicus (ring-necked pheasant). RNAcentral's name for it is "lncRNA (ENSPCLG00000013776.1)". The record is from RNAcentral. Lineage: Eukaryota; Metazoa; Chordata; Aves; Galliformes; Phasianidae.
UUGUUCUGAGGAUACAGGAAACUGGGAGGUGAUAGGAGCUGAGAGAACUGAAGUGUACUUAUUUGUACAAAAUUCAUGCAGUGGCUGCGUCAGGGAGGCUUCAGGAAAAUAUGCCUGAUACUGGAGGUCCUGGAAGAUUCUUGGAAGUUGGUCUUAGUGUAGAAUGGAGGAGGCAAUUAUCUGAGACAAAGCCUGGAACAUUGAAAGCAUAGUAGGAAUUGUGAGGUUGUGAGAUGUGGGACAAACUCCAAAACAGUGGGACAUGAGGAAAGAGGAAGGAGGAGUACUGUGAGAUACUGCAAACUCAGAAAUACAUGAAGAUGAGGACGUAGCUGUACAACAGCCCAAAGCAGAACAAUUUGGGAUCACUGAAAAAGGAGAAUGAAGAGAUGGGAAGAAUUGCAGUGAAAGAGGAACACAAAUUAUUAUGUCUCAGGUUGGCUUCGAACCCACUGUCGUCUAUAAUCCCCAGGGUGCCCUAGGGGUGAGUAUUUCCACACUCAAAAAGUCCUUCUUACCACCCCACACAAACAGCUCCUGGGUUGUCUCUGCUUUGCACUACAUGGGAUAA